RNAcentral lists this small RNA (289 nucleotides) under zebrafish metagenome. Its description in RNAcentral is "5' ureB small RNA". It matches the Rfam family "5' ureB small RNA". The record is from RNAcentral.
CUGCUGCGGGCAAAUGUAAUGGACGUGGGUGUCGUGGCCGCCAGCGGUGAGAAUCAGGUGCUCGCCGGUGAUGGCGUCGGUGGCGGUUCCGGUCGUAAGGCCCGGCGUCACGCCAUCCAUCGUGCUCGGAUUUCCCGCCUUGCCGAUGCCAACAAUCUUACCGUUGCGAAUACCAACGUCAGCCUUGACGACGCCGAGGAUCGGGUCGAGGAUCGUCACGUUGGUGAUGACCAUGUCGAGACAGCCGGCUUCCUGUGUGAGCUGGUUGUCGGAGCCCAUCCCGUCGCGC